This is a non-coding RNA of Podarcis lilfordi (Lilford's wall lizard), 64 nucleotides long. The record is from the annotation of a GenBank genome assembly. NCBI's taxonomy places the organism in Eukaryota, Metazoa, Chordata, Lepidosauria, Squamata, Lacertidae.
CAGAUAUAUUAGGGGAAUGUUUGCACUCUAUAUAUAGUGUGCAAACAUUCCCCUAAUAUAUGCA